This is a small nucleolar RNA of Rosa chinensis, 108 nucleotides long. Lineage: Eukaryota; Viridiplantae; Streptophyta; Magnoliopsida; Rosales; Rosaceae. The record is from RefSeq and is a predicted model, not a curated record.
AAGCCAUGAUGAGGACAUUGCAAAACAAAUCAUUGUAGCACUCCCAUGCAUCAUGAAAAGGUUCAUCGGCUUCUUGAGCAAAGGUUAUGAUUUGGGUGAUCAAUGCUU